GGCAACUUGGCCGAGCUGGUUAUGGCGUCAGGUUAAGGUCCUGAUGGGAGUAAUCCCGCGUGGGUUCAAGUCCCACAGUUGUCA
This 84-nucleotide transfer RNA is filed under the name Exophiala dermatitidis NIH/UT8656. RNAcentral describes it as "tRNA-Leu (AAG) (tRNA-Leu-AAG-1-1)". It matches the Rfam family "tRNA". Rfam says of the family: Transfer RNA (tRNA) molecules are approximately 80 nucleotides in length. Lineage: Eukaryota; Fungi; Ascomycota; Eurotiomycetes; Chaetothyriales; Herpotrichiellaceae. The record is from RNAcentral.